CGCUACCCCAGUCAAGA
This 17-nucleotide ribosomal RNA is filed under the name Quercus falcata. Its description in RNAcentral is "partial 28S ribosomal RNA". The record is from RNAcentral. Lineage: Eukaryota; Viridiplantae; Streptophyta; Magnoliopsida; Fagales; Fagaceae.